CCGGUGUUGCGGUCAAGUUGAUAAUGAGAGUGGGCACGUCCGAGCGCUUCGAAGGGAGCGAAUAGAGUUCGGCGCGGGGCUGGCUCACCAGUCGCCAGCCACAGGCGGCCGAGCUACAGCCGAGCGACGCUGAAGCGGAGAUUUCAGUUCACAUGACGUACACGCUAUUAGUAGAUAGUCAUUAGCCUCGACAAGAGCAAUUCAUCGGAGUGCAGAGAGCCUUACGUGUUAGAAAGAUUGCGAAUGUUAGCUACAAAUGAAAUAGUUUUGUGGCGCCGCGUGUGAUUAUUGUACGUGACCAUGGAGAGUGCAGAAGUAAUUUUGUUCGCAAGAACAUCGAAAAUAGAGUUGCCGCAAGGCGACUUAUUUUAUGUACUUAUACUUUGAAAUCAUUACAACGCCACAUCAUUGUUACUAUUAAUUUAUUUGAACAAGGAAAAUUAAUUAUUAACUUCGAUCAUUGUUUUUUGAUAAAGCUGAACAAAAUUAUUUCAAACGCAUUGAGUACAUAUACGUUGUAGUAAAGUUGUGGUAUAAACAUACCUAUUAACUUUGUACUGAGUUACGGUAAAAAUGAAAUAUCAUUGAAUUUUGUUGUGUAAAUUCAUGAACAAAUACACGUCAGAUGUAUUAAUUAAAGAACGACUGGUUUUCCUGUUGUAAUAAUAUCUUGUGGUUGACAUUGAGUUACAUAUUAUAUUCUUAUGAUUUUUUUUGAUACUGCAAAAAUUACCAAACAUAUCUAUCUGUAAGGUAUAAUUGAAAGUUAAUUGAUAUUUGUGUUAGAAUUUUCUUUAAAAUCAGAUAGAAAAUAAUCUCAUUCGUCAUCAUCAACAGCGUAUUUUAGUCCACUGUUGGACAUAUUAUUAUGUAGGCAUCUCCCAAGAAAUGAUCUGACCCUGAGUCUCUAGUCUUCAACUCCGUCUCUUCAACUUGUUACCACCUACACCACGUUUAUCGAUUUGCGGUCUCAAUUUUCAACGGUUAUCGGUUCUUCAAUAGAUAUGACCGACCUUUGCCACUUUAGCUUGCUUCUCAUUCGUUGAUUUUUAAUUAAUUAUUUAAAUAUGACUUUUAGUUUGCAUUUGCAUCUGAAUUACGGUCGCUUACACUGUAUAUUAUAUUGAAAUUGAGCACAAAUUGUGAACGCCUUAAUUAAUAGAUACAUAAGUAAUUACAAAAUUCAAUUUAGCCAAUUCAUAUAAUUGUUAACGCCUUUUAGUUAUUGAUUAGCAAUCGUUAGAACGGUACUUUCGAUGAGUCCUUUGUCGAGUUGAUGAAUGCAACAAAAUAAUAAUAAAUAUCCAUCGAUUUAAAUAUAUUUAGUUCUUGAAUUUGAGUGACGAUUUUGCCGCGAUUUUUUCGCAAUUUUGACCAAAUUCUACUUCAACGUAACUUGUUGCUAUCUCUAUAUUUAAUUUUACAGGAACAUAAAACGUAAAAAACGAAAUGUUAAUAUUGUAAAAUUUUGGUUUUCGUCAGAAGUAUUACCGUUAUAUAGCGUCGAAACGUCGAAAAAGAAGAUUGGAAGGUACCUAGCUUCCUACAAGCGAAACAUAUGAUCUUCUAGCAGAUUUCAGAACAAAAAAUGUGGAGGUGCUUCUAAAUCUUUAUAUUUCGUUGCUUUGUGUAUCUAUAACGUAGCAUUAAAUAGUCCGGCACUUUUCGAUGCAAAUUGCCACGUUUCGAAUUCUCUAAAAUUCCGUGGGUUUCUUUAGAUAUUUUUUGCUCACUCGAUUCCUUAAAUGUUUCCCUAAUGUUCGAUAACGUCUGUGAACACUGAAUGAAAAAAAUAAAGAUGACUUAUUCCUUU
Molecule: long non-coding RNA, 1813 nt
Organism: Bombyx mori (domestic silkworm)
Lineage: Eukaryota; Metazoa; Arthropoda; Insecta; Lepidoptera; Bombycidae
Exons: 2
Source: RefSeq, a predicted model, not a curated record